This 898-nucleotide ribosomal RNA is filed under the name uncultured bacterium. RNAcentral describes it as "bacterial SSU rRNA". It matches the Rfam family "Bacterial small subunit ribosomal RNA", at positions 17 to 886 of the family's 1533-position model. The record is from RNAcentral.
UCAUGGCUCAGAACGAACGCUGGCGGCGUGCUUAACACAUGCAAGUCGAGCGAGAAAGGGGGGGCAACCCCCUGAGUAGAGCGGCGCACGGGUGAGUAACGCGUGGGUGACCUACCCCCAGGCGGGGGAUAACUACUCGAAAGGGUGGCUAAUACCGCAUGAGACCACGGGAUCUUCGGAUCCUGAGGCUAAAGAUCGCACCGGCUUGCCGGUGCUGUCACCAGGGGAUGGGCCCGCGUCCGAUUAGCUAGUUGGUGAGGUAAUGGCUCACCAAGGCUCCGAUCGGUAGCUGGUCUGAGAGGAUGAUCAGCCACACUGGAACUGAAACACGGUCCAGACUCCUACGGGAGGCAGCAGUGAGGAAUAUUGCGCAAUGGGGGAAACCCUGACGCAGCAACGCCGCGUGGGUGAAGAAGGCCUUCGGGUCGUAAAGCCCUUUCGGACGGGACGAACGCUCCGCGGUGACAAGCCGCGGAGUCUGACGGUACCGUAGGAAGAAGCACCGGCUAACUCCGUGCCAGCAGCCGCGGUAAUACGGAGGGUGCGAGCGUUGUUCGGAAUUACUGGGCGUAAAGCGCGUGUAGGCGGCCUUGCAAGUCAGGCGUGAAAGCCCUCGGCUUAACCGGGGAAGUGCGUCUGAAACUGCUUGGCUUGAGUACGGGAGAGGGAGGCGGAAUUCCCAGUGUAGAGGUGAAAUUCGUAGAUAUUGGGAGGAACACCGGUGGCGAAAGCGGCCUCCUGGACCGAUACUGACGCUGAGACGCGAAAGCGUGGGGAGCAAACAGGAUUAGAUACCCUGGUAGUCCACGCGGUAAACGAUGGGCACUAGGUGUGGGGGGUAUCCACUCCUCCCGUGCCGAAGCUAACGCAUUAAGUGCCCCGCCUGGGGGAGUACGGC